UUCAAAAUUUAUUUAUUUCGGAAUAAAUUGGGCCUAAGUGAUUGUUAGGCAUUUAAGAGUAUUUUGUACCAGAUUCUUCGGCCCAUUAUACAAUUAUCAUUUUUCUUUCUUUCUUUGAGCUCACGCCUUCUACAGUGGUGAACCAACCAGAUAUUCAUAUUUCACUCUUACUUUGUUUUUAUUGAAAGAAGAAGAUGCAUCCACUCAGCUCGUUUUCACCUAUUUAACACCCCACUCAUUCAACUUCUUCAACCACAAAUUAGCUAAUCACCAACGAGAAUUAAUUCUCCUUCCAACCAAUUCAAUUCAGUUCAUCCCAUUCCCCAUCAAACUUCUAUCUCUCAAAUCUCAAUUUCAAGAACUCUCACAAUCGCUCAAGAAUACCUACAAGUAUUUAUAAUCUACAAAAUCAACAGUUCUUCCACAGCCCAUUCUCGGCCAUAAAUUCAAGAAACCGAAAUUUACUUUCACAGAGGUCCUACAGAAGAGGAUAUUUAGGCUCUUGAUCAGUUGAGUUAUAUUGUUUAGAUUUUCUCCAAAUCAGGUGAGGCUUUAUUUACGAAAUGCAUGUUUGAGCUAAUAAGCUCGGUUUUAUGUAAAGUUAAAGUUGAUGGUUCAUGCUUAAAAUGUUUUUGCUCUCUAUUGGUUAUUGUUUCUACCAGAACAUUGUUGGCUCCGCCAACUAGAAUUGUGUACGUACACCAGAACCUGUUGUCUCGAGAGAUUCGGUGACAACCAGUUGCAGAUAGCACGCCCAAUAGAUGAGACAGGAAAAUAUGAGCUCAGAUUAUUUUAGUAUGCAUGGAAUGACUCAUUUUAAAAACAUUCUGUGUUAUACUGUUUAAAGGCAUGAAUUAUCUUUUUCAGUAAAUGUUUUUUUAAAAUAUUUUUAAAUGGCCCAAUCCACUGAGUACACUAGUAUUCAGCCCUGCAAAUGUUUUCAAAACCUUUUGCAGAUUGAGCAGCUGGUGGUGACGUGCGAGGCUGAGGAAGAGUUGUUGCUGUGGAUUUUGAAGAAAUACUGUGUUUACUUCCGCUGAAAUAAAUUCACUUAGUGAAUAUUAUAUGAUGCCUAACUAUGUUAAUACUUUUAUUCAUAUUUUUAAUUUGAA
Long non-coding RNA from Salvia miltiorrhiza (redroot sage), 1112 nucleotides. RefSeq lists it as uncharacterized. NCBI's taxonomy places the organism in Eukaryota, Viridiplantae, Streptophyta, Magnoliopsida, Lamiales, Lamiaceae. The transcript has 2 exons. The record is from RefSeq and is a predicted model, not a curated record.